CCUACGGGAGGCAGCAGUGAGGAAUAUUGGUCAAUGGUCGGGAGACUGAACCAGCCAAGCCGCGUGAGGGAGGAAGGUACAGAGUAUCGUAAACCUCUUUUGUCAGGGAACAAAGCGGGGACGUGUCCCCGGAUGAGUGUACCUGAAGAAAAAGCAUCGGCUAACUCCGUGCCAGCAGCCGCGGUAAUACGGAGUAUGCGAGCGUUAUCCGGAUUUAUUGGGUUCAAAGGGUGCGCAGGCGGUCUGUUAAGUCAGCGGUAAAAGCCCGGGGCUCAACCCCGGCCCGCCGUUGAAACUGGCAGUCUCGAGUUGGAGAGAAGUAUGCGGAAUGCGCGGUGUAGCGGUGAAAUGCAUAGAUAUCGCGCAGAACUCCGAUUGCGAAGGCAGCAUGCCGGCUCCACACUGACGCUGAGGCACGAAAGCGUGGGUAUCGAACAGGAUUAGAUACCCGGGUAGUC
RNAcentral lists this ribosomal RNA (458 nucleotides) under uncultured bacterium. Its description in RNAcentral is "partial 16S ribosomal RNA". It matches the Rfam family "Bacterial small subunit ribosomal RNA", at positions 338 to 795 of the family's 1533-position model. The record is from RNAcentral.